GAGUAAAGUGGCGCACGGGUGAGUAACACGUGACUAACCUACCCUUGAGGUGGGGAUAACCUAGGGAAACCUGGGCUAAUACCGCAUAAUACCUACGGGUCAAAGGAGCAAUUCGCUUUAGGAGGGGGUCGCGGCAGAUUAGUUAGUUGGCGGGGUAAUGGCCCACCAAGACGAUGAUCUGUAUCCGGCCUGAGAGGGCGCACGGACACACUGGAACUGAAACACGGUCCAG
Molecule: ribosomal RNA, 232 nt
Filed under: uncultured bacterium
Lineage: Bacteria
Description: partial 16S ribosomal RNA
Rfam family: Bacterial small subunit ribosomal RNA
Source: RNAcentral